Numida meleagris (helmeted guineafowl) is the source of this 9475-nucleotide long non-coding RNA. RefSeq lists it as uncharacterized. The record is from RefSeq and is a predicted model, not a curated record. The transcript has 3 exons. NCBI's taxonomy places the organism in Eukaryota, Metazoa, Chordata, Aves, Galliformes, Numididae.
CCCACUGUCCAUUUUCAAAUUAAUGUAAAAGGUUUUUAAAAGCUCAGGCACAAAUUGUUGAACAGUCUUAAUCACGUUUAUUAUCAUCACUCCCUCAUGAUCUCACAACGGUUGAACUUAACCAUCAGCUGAAAAACUGCAGCCCUUGGUAGCUGCUCAGCUGUUGUAAAUAAUGAGUGGUUCAUUUUAUGAGCUUUAAGUUUGAGGCAGUAGCCUAAAAUUGACUGUGUGUUUGAUUUUUCAGCUAGGAUAAGCGUAACCCCUAUUUUUGUGCAAGUGCUUUAAAAAUAGCUGCAGUGUGUGGAAAAAAUAGUGGGUCUUGUUGCUGUUGGGAGUUUGUUGGCUUUUAGUUUUGAAGGUUUAAUAAUUUCCUGCAGAAAGAUCCCUGCUUUAACAGUACUGCCCAUUGUGUGAUAGUGCUGUGCUGUCUUGAGAGAUUGCAGUGCUGAUGCUGAGUAGGCUGCUUUGUAUAUGGUGCAGUACAGUACUGUGCAAAGUGAAUCCUGGAAGUCAUCUAAUCAUGAAGAUAGUGGAGCUCGCAGGACUGAGAACAUUGACUUGUCUUCUUCUACCUUGCUCCAGGGCCAGCCUGGGCACUGCCGCACACCACUACUCAGUAGAGUCUAAACCUUGCCUAGAAGCUUCAUCUUGCAUGCAUUUUGAUCCUAUAAAUGGAAAUGAAAACAUUUUCCAGUCCUGCCUGUUGCAACUCAUGCCUCUAGAAGAGAGGAAAGAUCCACAAGGCUAAAACGGGAAUAGAGAAGGGAGCACAAUUCUCUGCUUCACUGUUACAAAUGGGAGUUUCCUGAGAUGACCGCAGGACUCAUAAUCAAGCUUGAGGUGAAGGCUGACCACCUUCCUGCCAAAGAGGAGCGAGUUUGGUUCCCUGCUUGUAUUAUGAUUUGAAAGCAUGUGAUGGAGCAGGGUGCCACCUCCAGCUGUACGUGAAUGGCAAGUGGAGGCCUAUCCCUCUUGUGAUUCUUCAGAAACAGGUGCUCUUCAGUCCCUUGCACAUACACAUGUUUUUCUGUAGACAGCGAUCUUGAUAUAAAGUGCAAAUUAAAACAGAGACAUACUCAACAAGGCUGAACUUCUCAUAUUUCAGCUUUGUGUUACCCCCAACCUCACAGCAUGUGGCAGCGGAGGUAACCCCAUCACCUCAUCUUCCUCCUGAAGGAUGAGGGUUCAAGUAGGUUUUUACCAGGUCUUUAUGAUGAGAAACCUGGGGUGAGACUGACUGAAGCUGCAAAAUCUCAUUCUCUGGGUUUUGAUUUGGUACAAUCAAAAUAUUGGAAUAACUGGCACAAAUAUUCCUUUGGAUUCCAUAAAUGACUUGAUUUCAUUUUGCAAAUCAUAAAACCUUUUUAGCAUUUUACUCCAAUUUAGCCAUUGGCUUCUGGCUUCAAAAAAGUAAAUUAUGUCCACGUAAUCAGUAUCCAUACUUCUAAGGAACUGCUGGAAUUAACAAUGAUUCAAUCCCUUGGACUUUAUGAAAUUCACAGCUUUGUCAAUUUAUCAUAGAAUCAUUAAGAUUGGAAAAGAGCUCUAAGGUCAUCUAGUCUAACUGUGCACCUAUCACCAAUGUUCCCCACUAAACCAUAUUCAUUAAUACAACAUCUGAAUGUUUCUUGAACGCUUCCAGGGAUGGUUGCUCUACCACUUCACUGGGCAACCAGAUCCAGUGCUUGACCACUCUUUUGGAGAAGAAAUUUUUCCUAAUAUCCAACCAGAACCUCCCCUGGCACAACUUGAGGCCAUUCCCUCUCAUCCUAUUGCUAGUUACUAGGGAGGAGAGGCUGACUCCCAGGUCCUUUUCGUCUGUACAGUCUGUAGCGUUCCCUGGGUUUGUUGUGAUCGAAGUGCAGCACCCAGCACUUGGUCUUGUUGGACUUCAUCCCAUUGGCCAGCUAUCCAGCCUGUCUGGAUCCCUCUGAAGGGCCUUUGUACCCUCAGGCAGAUCGACACCUCCUCCCAGAUCAGCGUCAUCUGGGAACUUACGGGGUCCCAGUGCUCUCAUCCAGGUCAUCAAUGAAGAUAUUAAACAAGACAGGCCCCAGUACUGAUCCCUGGGGAACACCGCUUGUGACCGGUUGCCAGCUGGAUUUAAUUGCGUGCACCACCACUCUCUGGGCCUGGCCCUCCAGCCAGUUCUUUACCCAGCAGAGUGUACCUGUCCAAUUUUUCGCAUGACGUUAUUUGCAUGAUGUUAUCCAUUUUUAAGGCUUUCUCACAUAAAUUUUCUUGAUGUACAAUGCAGCGAUAUUUCAUCAAACAUGAGUUGCCAUUGGCAAUUGCACUGUCUUCUGUUAAUUUUAUAAGUUCCUCUUUUCACCAACUAUUGCUGGGGUGCAGUCAGUAUCUAUACCAGAUAUUCUGACAUGAUAUGUUUUGAUGUGACUGAGCGCACGCUAUAGGCAUGAGGACAUACUUAACAGUGCACUGUGCCUCCCCAUGUCCCAGGGCCAGGCUGAGCCACUCAGUGUGGCAGAGAUGCCACCAUGAUGGGAAGGGGGCAGCCACACUACGAGCUGUGCCAAGCUGUGGGUUGGACAUGCUUGCUCUUAGUUUUUACAGAAGUAGAAACUUGGCUUUGGACAUCAAAUGACUUUGUCCUGAGGCCACGCUAAAAGCUAGCCCACAGAUUGUUUCCCUCUGUGCUGUUUCCCAGUAUGCCUCAAUUUGGAGGCAGAGAUAUUUCCUCACCCAGGGAGGAUGCAUCAAGUUCACCCCUGGUUUCCUUGGUUGCUUCACCGAGCUUGCAGACCCAGGUUAUGUUGUAGCACCUGUUGUGAUUGUGCUUGUUUUGUAGGAUGUAUUUAUACCUCAGAUACUGGGUGGCACUACUCACUAGUUAUGGUUCUCACAAAUUUAGAAAGCUUGCAGUUUGUUGUCAAAGGGUGAUGUGCAGAUGUGAGAAGAUGUUUGUAAUGCUUAGACCAGCCUCCAGGUGGAAGGGGGGUUUAUAAUGGCAAGCAGGGAACAGAAGAUGCUGGGCUGAGAUGAAAGAAACUAGGGAAACUGUUGGGACCAUGUUUCCUCUGAUUCUUAUUUCAAAGCCAGUCAGAAUCUAGAGCCAAAGGCAAGAACCUGUUUGCUAUUUUCAGUGGCUUAAUAAGGCUGAGACCGUCAGCCACAAGAAACUGUACUGCUCACAAUAUCCUGUGCUUUUGGUAAAGAAGGUCAGUGGGGCAUAUCCUGCGUGCAGUGGCUUUGUUUCUUGGCAGGGGUUGGUCAGGUGGAUGGACUCCAGCACUUUACCAUCAGUGUCUAGAACUUCAUUUGGCCUCACUUCUUUGUCCUCAGCCUCACAAGACCUAGAGCGGGCUCCUUUAGAAACGGUAGUGAAUGUAUUCAAAGAUGUGCACUGAUGCAGAAGUUUUUGUAAACCCAUGAAAAAGAAGGAAAAUAGCAGAGAGCACUCCCAUCGCUCUAUUUUUAUCCUACCUGACAUUGCACAUAGAAGGAUACUGAAUUCAGCAAACAUCCAUUUUAAACACCUAGCCAUUGCCUGGGAUAGCUGCGUUGACUUCUGCUGCUUUGCUGCAGGCAGCCUGUGUGACCUUUGGAAUUCGCUGCUACCAGUGACAUCAAGGCUCAAAGUACUCCGCAUUUCAAAGGCCUUUUUUGGAGAGUAAUUGCUUGACUGUUAUGGUAUAAGGAACCAUAAAGUGCAAAAAGAAAAGGGGCACUAGAUGUUUGUGAUACUCUACUGGUUUUCCAGGGGAAGCAGCACAUAUGGAGAGUUAAUAAUUGCCAAAAAUGUAAUUAUUUUCAAGCUAGAGGCUACACUUAUGAACCAUGUAUAGAGUAGAUGGCUAAUGCCAUACCAAUGUAAAGAAAUUGAUUUCAUAGCCAGGAAUAGGAUGGGAUGGAAAGUACUUGCCAAUUUGCUAAUGAGUGUGUUAUACCACGUGUUAUAUCAUGUGUUAAAGCCAUGAAAAUGAAUGUUAGAUAACACUGGAGUGGCUGGACUUCAAGCUGAAGCUGCUGGUUCUUGUUACCUGCUGAGGAACACUGCAGCCUUAAAGUAAUCAUGCAAGCACAGAAUCACAGAAUGGCUUGGGUUGGAAGGGACCUUAAAACCCACCCAGUUCCAACCCUCUGCCAUGGGCAGGGCUGCCACCCACUAGCUCAGGCUGCCCAGAGCCCCAUCCAACCUGGCCCUGAACACCUCCAGGGAUGGGACAUUCACAGGUCCUCUGGGCAGCCUGUGCCUCUCUGCCCUCUGAGUGAAGAAUUUCCUCCUGACAUUUAAUCUAAAUCUCCCUUCCUAAUGAUUUUCUUAGUAACUCUUCUAUAACUAUAGCAGAAUAAGCAUAAUGAACGAAACCUGAGCUGCACAUCAGAAACUGCACUUGCAAGCAGAAAUACAGUUUUUCAGCUUGAUUAAUUAAAGUAUAAUCAAUAGCCGGGACACAGCUGUUGACUAGGAAGUAAGCAUAUGGAGUUGGUCCGUGACUGUCUGAAGAAAAUACGAACUUGUGCGCACAUUAGCCAUACGCUUCUCUUACAGCAAUUGCUGUUUAUAUUUAAAUCUUGUCAGAUUGAGAGUAAGCCUAACUGUGACUUGAUGUUUUUAAGGUUUUGGAGAAAAUGGCAAGUGAAGAUGUGCAUUGUGCUAAAAGCGAGCAUAGUGCAGUGCUGCUAUCUAUAGUAUUUCCUGUCUCACAAUAGUCUACCCAGCUGCCUUCUAUAUAGCUGCGUGCUCAGUCCCGAGUAAUGAUGCACAGAAGAUGUAAUUCUGCAGUGUAGCACAGUGCCAAUGACAGCUGGGGAUUCACUACUCCUGCACAUUAAUGAAGGCUACAGAGGUCUCUCAGAUCCAUCGGAGAUGCACACAGCCAGUUACUGAGCUGAGCAGUGCCGUCGCUGAAAGUCACCCCAUGUAUGCAAAAGACAAAGACAGCACUCACAUCAAGCCAGAAGGGAGUGUUUUGGUUUCUCUGAAAUUCUUCAAAACGCUGGUCCCAAUUACUAGAAAGCACAUGGGAGCAGCUAUGGCAGAAUUCACUCAUUUGCUUCUCUGUCUUGUGUGAGUAACACAGGCAGGGAAUUCACAAGGAACUGCUCUGAUUCAAGUGCAGCUCCAGCUUCAGAAAAGGAGGUGCAGCAGGACCUGAAACCAACAUCUGCUCCUUCUCAGAGCCUCUUCCACUGCUUCCCAUCUUUUUUCUUUUAAAUUAGAUAUGUUCUUUGUUCUUUCUGACUUUCCGAAAGGUUGGUUAUGGCACAGAGCAGCCCCCCAGUACGGUCCUCUCUUCUGGUCAAAAAUCAGUGUGCUGUGAAGAGGAGGGCUUGCCACUGCUCACCUUAUCAAAAGUGCCUCCUUCUCCCCGUGUAGCAGCAUCUCUCAGCAAGGGGUGAGCAUCCCAAAAUAAAUGCCUCUUGAGGGUCAGGUUGUUCCAUCUACUGUUUCACCAGAAAGUUUUCAAACUUUGUCUUGGCCUUACGAUAAAUAUCGGCCAGACCAAAUAAGUCAGGAAACUCCUGCCCGAUUACACGCUUCCCAUGGCCAGGGCCAUCCCUGUGCCCACACACGGGCAUAGCCAGCCCAGCUUACUUGCCAGUGGUGCCUUGCCACACCGUUUGGGGGGCACUGUGCACAGCAUGAUGUGCUGAGAUGUUGUCUUAUGUUAGAUGAGAAAAUACACCGUAGUUUGCCGUCUGACAAAAUCCAGAUUAUUUACACCACGAGUGGAUGUGUGGGAGCUUGCUUACCACAGGCUUCCUUCUCUUGCUACAGCUCAUUUCCUUUGUUCUAUAUGGCUCUUUCUGACAUGAGUUGGAAACAAAAGAAAAUUGCUCCUUUUUGAGUCAUCCCAGAAAUGAUGCUUUAUACGAGCGGAUGCUGAAUUUUCUGCCUUCCGGACUCCUUGUCUGCUAUUCUAAGCUUAGAAGCUGUACCUUUCUUUUGAAACAUCACUGGGAUGAUCCAAGGAAAGCAGAUAGUUUCCUUCAUCAUGUGAACGUUAUGUUAAAUGAAUUACAUGAGUCAGAGCUGGGAAAAAAAAAAAAAAACACCACAGUGUAUUUAUUGUUCAUUAAAAAUUCCUUGUCGUGAGGGGCAUCUAAGAUGAUCUAAAAGCUAACCAUACGCUGAGCCUGAUCCCCAGGUCGCAUACAUCAGCAUGGCCACAUGCAAUCACUGCAGUGACACCAUCUUCCUCAGCAUCAGCCCUGAUGUAUCAGCAUGUACAUCUGUGAUUUAAUGGACAAGUAAACACACAGAGCCAGGUAAGUGCCCAAUGAGUGCAUGUGCAGCAAAACAAGUCAUCCCAAACAAAGUUUAUGCUAGCUUAAGUUCAGAAACAUCCUCUCCAGAUCUGCCUGCUUUGGCUGCUAAUGCUUGCUUUAAAUGUCAUUCUGUGCUGUUUUGACAUUUCCCCCACCCCUGCAAGCUACAGAGCUUGUCUAAGAAGCUGGAGGGGCUUUUUUCAUGAAGUGGGAGCAUUCAAGCAGAUAGGCAGAAGAGCUGCAGGGCACCAACAAAUAAAUGAUACCAGCCCUCACUGAACAUAAUGUGGAGGCAAAUUUCAGCUGUCAGACAGAUGUGCUUGCUCCUCCUGCUCCAUCAGAGGAUGUACCUUAGAAAGAUACCACGACACAGCUCUGUGGUGUCCUGUUCUUGCCUCCACAAGAUGCUUAUGUAGUUUUAAACAGAAAGUGAAUAUCUAUGACAGGUUACAGCAAAGGAUGGAGGAUAAAGACAAGGAAAAAAUGACUGCAGAUUGCCAUUGCUUAACUUGGCAUUUUGCAAAUAGGUCAGAAUGGUGGAGGCAGAGGGUUUAGAGUGUGCCUGAGUGAAAUCUGCUGUCCCUUUCCUACCAAAUAAUAGAGCGCUCAACUACACUUCUCCCCACAGACUUUGCAGCCGUGGCAAACUAUCAGGCUGUGGUAGGCGUUUCAUUCCUAGAGAAUCAGCUGCACAAUCUGGUCACCUGGGACUCCAAAACCCACAGGUCAGUGAUUUAGACAGCUGGAAGGUUUGGUGGUCUCCAUGUCACCGGCGAAACUGCUUUCCUCACUUAGCAGCUCACCACAUUCCCCGGUGUUCUGCAUCGUCAGAUUAGCUGGUGUGAAAUUGACAGGUUUCUCCUGUACAUCUUGAUCUGCUGGAAGAGAUUGCUGCUCCAGGUGCUGUUAGCUAAGUGUCCUGCCUCUACUGUUUCAUGUCCCCAAACACCUCUUCUUGGUAAGGAUUUAUUUCUGGUUUGUGUUCAAAACGACACCAUCCUCACCUCAGGUCCUUCCCUUCACGCUGCCCUGAUGGAAGAGUGCAGCACACUGGCCCAGGCUCUGUGAGGGAUGAUGAUGUGCAUAGGAAAACACUUCGCACAGCAUCUGUUGGAGGAAUGGUGCACAUUCCUCAGAGAUGCAUGUAAGCACAUCUCCUGCUCUGGAAGUGCCCUAAGCCUUGUUCUCCCUAUUCAUUUCCUGCCAGGCUAUCUCCUCUCCUCGUGCUCCCAUGCGGCUACAGGUGGUGGAGUUUCCUCCAAUCAUUUUCACGGUAAUAUUUUAUUGAUGCCAGAAGCUGAAGUCAUCAUAAACAGAGAUUAUUCCCACCUGUGAAAUUCCAAAAGGCACUGGCAGAUGUGCUUUGUCUAGCUUGGGCUAGCUGCUUCCCCACCUAAAGCAAAUUCUCACUUAAACAAAUCUUGAAACUCAGGGCACAGGAGGGGCACGAGCUCAGAGCAGAAUGGGAAUUUACUCCCAGCACCCAGUUUGGAAAUGCCACUGCUACGCUACGGGUUGGAUGAGACAAAAUUUUUGCAGCUGCCUAAACUCAUCUUGGUUGAAGUCACGGGGGUCUAUGUCAGUCUCCCCAGAUGCCUUUGAUGUUUGUCUCCUAGUUAAUGCGGGAGCAAUCAGCUGCAUAAUUUUUAUGAAAAGCAGGAGUACAGCUUGCCUUAAUAUUCUCCUAUGUAAAAUAAGAUAUAUUUAAUUUAAAAAUACCACCACAUACAUAAUGCGGCUUUGAUAGCUGACAGCUCGUACUGAUCACUGUAGGCAGUAGGGGUCCUGUGGGCUAAAUGAUGACGGAGGACAUGAAAGCCCUAUGAUUUUUAAGUCCUUUUUUUUUCCAUUAUACUUUAUAAUAAGAAAUGCAGAACAGAUUUUGUUUGGCCUUACCAAAAUGCUCCGAUGAUCUCCUGUCGUCAGAGUGGGGAUGUGGGCCUCCUGCACUGUUAGAUAAAAUCGGCCAUGACUUCCUUGCAAUUAGUAUGUUCCCAGCAGCUCCUUAAUAAAUGCCAAGUGCUGCCCUUCCAGCUCACAAUGGGGAGGAUAAAUGGCGCUGGGCUGGAGGACUGUAAAGAAGAGAUGCUUGCUUCUUCUGCACAUCUCUGACCUUGACUAAAACCUUGCUCAAGUUGCUCUUUUUUCUCGGCCUUACCAAUAAUGUGGCAGCAAGGUUGGCUGGGGCCAGCCACUGUGAGCCAGGUGAGGCAAAGCCCUAGGCAGCUGCGUGCAGUAGAGCUUGGAUAGAAGUUGGGCCCCAAAACAUCCACUGACUGAACUGUUGCUCAGCACCAUUCAGCUCAGGGCCAGCCUCAGCAGAUGUACAGGUCCCUGCUGGGAGGGACAAUGGAAGCACUAGCAGGGGGGUGAAGAAAAGAGGCUGGAUGAUGGCCAACACGGCAGUACCUGAGCCUAGGGCUCUGCAGGGAAAGUGGCACUCCUGAAACCUUCUCUGGUGUCUUUCUGGGUGAUUUCGGUGCCUACAGUGGCAGUCACAAGCACCUCUGGUGUAAUCAGAGGCUUUUGCCCUGUGCAUGCCCUUCCUGCCUUGGGGCCUCCUCUUCAGCAGUGUCGGUGCAUCACCUGUGCUGGGCCUCAAGUCAAGGGUUUGUCCAUGAACUGACUCCAGUGGGCUGGCAGGCCCUGGCCCAGCCACACAUGGCCAAACGUUAUGCCUGAGGGCACCAUCCAGGCCCCACAUCCUGGGGUGUCAUUUUGAUGCCAUCCUUAGGCUUUGGCCUGGUGGUGCCAAGGGAUGGUUGUGCCUCUGCCCAGCCCUGUCUCAGCUCAGCUCACAGCCUCGCCUCAGGGCUAAGCAAUGUCAGGAGCUUUGAGCUGUCCCUUAUGUUAAUUUUCAGGGUCACUGGAGUGGAAAGUUUUUUUCUGUUCAUUUGGUGCUUUUUUGCCAGCCUGUUGGUCAGCAAGCCCUCUGAGGAGGCUUCACAGGCAGAGGUGCUGCAAAGGCCCAGGUGGCUGGCAGCACUGCUGUGCCCUCAGGUGCUGCUGUGCACACCAGUGGGGUACUUCAUUAAUUUACUGUAGCAACAGAAGAGAUCACCACGAUGGGAAAGGCGUUACAAAAGAGGUGUUUGACGGAAGAACCAGCAUGAUAGAAAGGUGCUAUAAAGGAAGGGAAGAUUCAGGCCAGGGGAGAUUCAGGCUCAAUGUUAGGAAAUACUACUUUUCUGAAAGAGUGAUCAGGCACUGGAAUGGGCUGCCCAGGGAGGUGGUGGAGUCA